UUGGAGAGUUUGAUCCUGGCUCAGGACGAACGCUGGCGGCGUGCUUAACACAUGCAAGUCGAACGAAGAGCGAUGGAAGCUUGCUUCUAUCAAUCUUAGUGGCGAACGGGUGAGUAACGCGUAAUCAACCUGCCCUUCAGAGGGGGACAACAGUUGGAAACGACUGCUAAUACCGCAUACGAUCCAAUCUCGGCAUCGAGACUGGAUGAAAGGUGGCCUCUAUUUAUAAGCUAUCACUGAAGGAGGGGAUUGCGUCUGAUUAGCUAGUUGGAGGGGUAACGGCCCACCAAGGCGAUGAUCAGU
This 303-nucleotide ribosomal RNA is filed under the name Veillonella sp. RNAcentral describes it as "partial 16S ribosomal RNA". It matches the Rfam family "Bacterial small subunit ribosomal RNA", at positions 1 to 284 of the family's 1533-position model. The record is from RNAcentral. Lineage: Bacteria; Bacillati; Bacillota; Negativicutes; Veillonellales; Veillonellaceae.